Passer domesticus (house sparrow) is the source of this 2251-nucleotide long non-coding RNA. RefSeq lists it as uncharacterized. The record is from RefSeq and is a predicted model, not a curated record. The transcript is spliced from 2 exons. Lineage: Eukaryota; Metazoa; Chordata; Aves; Passeriformes; Passeridae.
GGUCCCAGGGGCUGGCCUGGGGGGAGAGAAAUGGAGUUACGGAACAAAGCACCCACGUCUUUACAGAUGUUGUCUUUCUAGGCUUCCAGACCCUUUUCCACAGGCUGGGGGGUCAGUCUGCCUCCUCUUCUCCAACUCCCACUGCAUUAGGGCUUGCAUGGCACAGUGAGCUGGGUCUAGAACUAAAGCUUCUGACAUUUCUCCUUAUUUCUACUUGCUCUGACAAUUACGAUUUUUCAAGUCCCUUCUCAGACUUCAAAAAAAGUAAGACUUCAUUUUCAAAUAAGUCGUUCUCUCCUUCCUUUUCUCAGCCUCAUAGUGCCCUGACUUUCCAGUUCUCUCCCUUUACAGUCCUAGCUGCCACUUUCAUAUGGAUCUUUCUAUAGGCUUCAGUAAUGAAGCUUUCCUCCAGUAUUGUUUAGUAUUCAGGACCCAGUUGACAUUAGCCAGAGGCAUUCCUGCCAGAGGCCCGACCCAGGCAUUGACAAGAGAGUGGAAAACACACCCUGACUGAAGGAGCCCCUCAAGUCACUUUGGGAUUAACCAAAAGGGGAUCUCACUCAGCAUGAUUUUGGCAGCAAAUGGGAGAGUUCAUGUUUGUGUCAGCAAGUGAUGAAUCAAGCAGCCACACAAAUAUGCGAAGUUUAUUACAGACAGAGGUUGCUAUGGUGAUACCUAGAAAGGAUUUUAAUUGAGAGAACAUACUUAUGGUUCAGAUGUCAAAAUUCUGUCUUCUUUGUAAGUACAGACCUGGCCAUUCUCAGGUGUUCCUCUGCUCUAAAGGCAGCUUGCUCAGGGAAGAACAAGAUCAGCAGUUCAGGAUGUAUCCCCUGGAUACUGCAGCAUUCUCACAAAGACUCUGCUGCCAUCACAGCCAUACCCAGAUCAUUAACUGCAGCAUGGCACUGCGUGGAUGGCUACUGCUGUUCCCAGAGGCAGCCAGGACUGCCACCAAAGUCAGGUGUGGGGCUCAGAACCUUAUGCUGAAGCUCUCUGGGGACAGAGUCUCAUUGCUCUGGCCUCUUAGAUGAGCUCUGCUAUGGGGGCACACUUCCUUCCAAGGCAGCAUAUUGCAUCUGGCUCCCCUUUCUCUUCCUGUUGUCUGAGACAGGGAAGUGCCAAAGCACCAGCAGAAUACUCAGGAAAUCCUACAGGGGAUACUGAAGAGCAGGAAUAGUGGCACUGCUGCAGGCAUGGCUGCCUGAGAUACAAGUCCUGACUCUAGCUCUUCCUCCAAGACUGAGCAAUGCUUAGGAGAAACUGAAAUACAAGUUUCCAGGAUGAGUUAAUACAGUGAUUUCUUGUAAUAAAGGUCUUCAGAGCUCAGGUUUUUAAUUAAGCCUCUUAGUGAGCACAAAAAGAUGAACACUCACUGUGUAAGUAGCUUCCCUUGUAAUCAGAGUUCAUAAAAAUGUUUUCACAUUGACAGUGGAUAUAAUUUGUAUCAGCCAGUAUUGCAGGAUUUAGUCAGGAUAAUGUUCCUUUAUUUUGGAAUAAUUUUCCCCCUAAGUUUUUAACCCAGAAAUGUUCUUUAUCUGCAGUUCUUUAUUUAGGACUUAAAUAGUGGGUUAUAUUCCAUCACAAGAGGAAAGCUCAGGCUUGUCCCAGAAAGCUGAUCUGAUGGCUGGAAGAUGGGGCAGAUCAAGGGACUUCAUAUGACAGCCAGUGGAAUGGGCUGGUAAAAAAGGAAUACCACUGGAAGCCUUUAAGCUUGGUCUUCAGACAGCAAAUAGUACUGUAAGCACAAAUAGUGAUGGGGGAUGUCAGUUCCUCAGACUGAAAAAAACCUCAGGGUCCUGUAGUAAAAUUCUUAUUUUAGCUGCAAACUAAAUAGGUUUUCUAUAGCACCUCUGUGCAGUAUCUUAGCUUCUGCAAUGCCAAUAAAAAUAAAGGACAUGUUUAUGAUCAGGAAAGAAUUAUCAGAAUCCAAGUCUGGGAAGAAGAGAUCAGUGUGGGACACCUGCAGCUUGAUUUCUGAAAGCAAAGCAGCAGGAAGAUGAUGAACAGUGCCAGGCAUCAGUGCUGCAGGAAAAGCAUCAUCCACACACAGGAGCUAACACAGACUCCUGCUUUGUUUACCAGGUGGCACAGAGGAUGAUGUGGAGUAUCUCUUUAUGCUGUUACAGCAACCCACACUGCCACAGAGAAAGUGACUCACUGCAGAAGUGAGGGGAGGGCCCUGCCAGUGAGGAGUCUGUACAAGGAGACAGGUACUGCUCAAGGUGGUUCAGCAUUCCUGAACCUUGAAGGA